This 77-nucleotide transfer RNA is filed under the name Bacilli bacterium. Its description in RNAcentral is "tRNA-His". It matches the Rfam family "tRNA". From Rfam's summary of the family: Transfer RNA (tRNA) molecules are approximately 80 nucleotides in length. The record is from RNAcentral. Lineage: Bacteria; Bacillati; Bacillota; Bacilli.
GCGGGUGUGGUGAAGAGGCCCAACACACCUGGCUGUGAACCAGGCAUUCGUCAGUUCGAAUCUGAUCACUCGCCCCA